GGAUAUAUAUUUAAAAGCAUUAAUAAUGAUAUAAUUUUUUAUAAUUUUAAGAAUAUUAGAUUUCACAGAAUAGAAUUAUAAAAUAUUAGUAUUAUGUUUUAAAUUUUUUUUUAUAAAUUUUAACAUUUAUUUAUAAUAUAGUGACAAAAAAAUUUUUAAAUCAGUCAUUGAGUCUAAUUCUUUAUUGUGGUUUCGAAUCAAAAUUAGAAUUUUCCUUUAAAAAAUUAAAAAAUGAAAUUGACUAAAAUCAGGCCGAAUCAGAAUCAAGAUUAAGUUACCCUAUAUUUUAAUUCCAAUCCUCUUAAACCACUGAAUGAGAAUCCUAAUCCAUUGUCUUCUCGUAAUUCAAAACUCAAGAAUUCAAACGUUAGCAUUUUUCGUGUAAAACUUUUCAUUAUAAACAAAAUUAAUGUAAUCAUUUUUAUAUAUUGAAAAUCUUUUAAUGAAACAAUAUUCUUAUUUAGGUCCAAUUUAUGUUGAUUAAAACUGAUGAAAAUUUAAUGUAUAAAAUUAAUUGGACUCAUAUUAAAAGGUUUUUUUUACUCAAAUUGAGUUUGUUAAGUGGGUAAUAUACUUUUAAUUACUGAACAAAAUUAGAUUAAACUUUGUUAAUGUAUUUUUACGUCUAUAAAAAUCUGAUCUAAAUAAUUUUUUUAUAUAUUUUAAAUCUUUAAUUUUAUAUGUAAUAAUUUAAUUAUUAAUUAUUAAUUAAAUGAUAACAAUUUAAGUCUGGAAUUUGAAUUUUCCCAUCUAUUUUCUUUAAGACUAAUCACGAGAAAAGAUAAGAAAUAUCUUUCAUUGUGUAACCUAACACAACCCAUCAAUUAUAACCAACUCAUUAAUUCUCUAUUAAAUAAAAAAUAUAACAAUUCAAGCUGUAACAACCUUCACCUUCAAAAAUAAUUAAAGUAGCAAAAUCAAAAUUUUUACCUAAAUUUGUGGAACACAAUCAAAAUAAACAAAAAUGACUAAAAGGCAUAUUUUCUGCUGCGUGACAUCUGCGGAGUAGCUUAUCCAAGACUUUGCUUAACUUAGUUGUUUUGUUUCCUUUCUUUUUCUUUUUUUUU
RNAcentral lists this unclassified non-coding RNA (1067 nucleotides) under Hevea brasiliensis (rubber tree). Lineage: Eukaryota; Viridiplantae; Streptophyta; Magnoliopsida; Malpighiales; Euphorbiaceae. The record is from RNAcentral.